RNAcentral lists this ribosomal RNA (466 nucleotides) under uncultured bacterium. RNAcentral describes it as "partial 16S ribosomal RNA". It matches the Rfam family "Bacterial small subunit ribosomal RNA", at positions 28 to 507 of the family's 1533-position model. The record is from RNAcentral.
GACGAACGCUGGCGGCGCGCCUAACACAUGCAAGUCGAACGAGCGAGAGAGAGCUUGCUUUCUUGAGCGAGUGGCGAACGGGUGAGUAACGCGUGAGGAACCUGCCUCAAAGAGGGGGACAACAGUUGGAAACGACUGCUAAUACCGCAUAAGCCCACGGUGCCGCAUGGCACAGAGGGAAAAGGAGCAAUCCGCUUUGAGAUGGCCUCGCGUCCGAUUAGCUAGUUGGUGAGGUAACGGCCCACCAAGGCGACGAUCGGUAGCCGGACUGAGAGGUUGCACGGCCACAUUGGGACUGAGACACGGCCCAGACUCCUACGGGAGGCCGCAGUGGGGAAUAUUGCACAAUGGGGGAACCCCUGAUGCAGCGACGCCGCGUGGAGGAAGAAGGUCUUCGGAUUGUAAACUCCUGUUGUUGGGGAAGAUAAUGACGGUACCCAACAAGGAAGUGACGGCUAACUCCGUG